Molecule: ribosomal RNA, 777 nt
Filed under: Melamphaus rubrocinctus
Lineage: Eukaryota; Metazoa; Arthropoda; Insecta; Hemiptera; Pyrrhocoridae
Description: SSU rRNA
Rfam family: Eukaryotic small subunit ribosomal RNA
Source: RNAcentral
CCGGUGACGUAUCCUUCAAAUGUCUGACUUAUCAGCUGUCGAUGGUAGACUCUGUGUCUACCAUGGCUCUCACGGGUGACGGGGAAUCAGGGUUCGAUUCCGGAGAGGGAGCCUGAGAAACGGCUACCACAUCCAAGGAAGGCAGCAGGCACGCAAAUUACCCACUCCCGGCACGGGGAGGUAGUGACAAAAAAUAACGAUACGGGACUCAUCCGAGGCCCCGUAAUCGGAAUGAGAACAUCCUAAAUCCUUUAACGAGGAUCUAUUGGAGGGCAAGUCUGGUGCCAGCAGCCGCGGUAAUUCCAGCUCCAAUAGCGUAUAUUAAAGUUGUUGCGGUUAAAAAGCUCGUAGUUGGUUCUGCGUGCCACGCUGUCGGUUCACCGCCUGUCGGUGCAACUGGCAUGUCGUGGUAUGUCCUGUCGGUGGUUUAUAGGCUUCGCGGCGCUCCCUACACAACACGUUGUGUAGGUCGUCGAGUCGUACCUAUACUCCGGCUCAAUCCUACCGCGGUGCUCUUCAUCGAGUGUCGAGGUAGGCCGGCACAUUUUACUUUGAACAAAUUAGAGUGCUUAAAGCAGGCAAAUGAAUCAGCCUGAAUAGUGGUGCAUGGAAUAAUGGAACAGGACCUUGGUUUUAUUUUGUUGGUUUUAGAAAUCCAAGGUAAUGGUCAAUAAGGACAGGCGGGGGCAUUCGUAUUGCGACGUUAGAGGUGAAAUUCUUGGAUCGUCGCAAGACGCACUAGAGCGAAAGCAUUUGCCAAGUAUGUCUUAAUUGAUC